RNAcentral lists this ribosomal RNA (253 nucleotides) under uncultured bacterium. Its description in RNAcentral is "partial 16S ribosomal RNA". It matches the Rfam family "Bacterial small subunit ribosomal RNA", at positions 57 to 305 of the family's 1533-position model. The record is from RNAcentral.
GCAAGUCGAGCGGAAACGAUGUAGCUUGCUAUAACUGUCAGCUAAGUGGCGCACGGGUGAGUAAUAUAUAGUUAAUCUGCCCUAGAGAAAGGGAUAACGUUUGGAAACGAACGCUAACACCUUAUAUGCCUUUAAGUCUUAAGACUGCAAGGGAAACAUUUAUGGCUCUAGGAUGAGACUGUACGGUAUCAGUUAGUUGGUGAGGUAAUGGCUCACCAAGACAAUGACGCCUAACUGGUUUGAGAGGAUGAUC